CCCUUAGAUGUUCUGGUCUGCACGCGUGCUACAAUGGCGCUUGCAACAAGUCUUGCCAACCCGAUAGGGUGAGCGGAUCUUUGAAGAGGCGUCGUGAUCGGGACAGUUGAUUGCAAUUAUUCGACUCGAACGAGGAAUUCCUUGUAAUCGCGAUUCAUCAUAUCGCGCUGAAUACGUCCCUGCCCUUUGUACACACCGCCCGUCGCUCCUACCGAUUGAGCGAUCCGGUGAAUGUUUUGGACUGGCGUCAGAAGCGGUUCGCUCCUGACACUACGAAAUUUUGUAAACCUUAUCGCUUAGAGGAAGGAAAAGUCGUAACA
Molecule: ribosomal RNA, 320 nt
Filed under: uncultured eukaryote
Lineage: Eukaryota
Description: partial 18S ribosomal RNA
Rfam family: Eukaryotic small subunit ribosomal RNA
Source: RNAcentral